RNAcentral lists this transfer RNA (77 nucleotides) under Candidatus Moranbacteria bacterium CG_4_9_14_3_um_filter_36_9. RNAcentral describes it as "tRNA-Ile". It matches the Rfam family "tRNA". Rfam says of the family: Transfer RNA (tRNA) molecules are approximately 80 nucleotides in length. Their secondary structure includes four short double-helical elements and three loops (D, anti-codon, and T loops). Lineage: Bacteria; Candidatus Moraniibacteriota. RNAcentral also lists the same sequence under 1 other name. The record is from RNAcentral.
GGGCAUGUAGCUCAGUUGGUUAGAGCGCGUCACUGAUAAUGACGAGGUCCCCGGUUCGAAUCCAGGCAUGCCCACCA